RNAcentral lists this ribosomal RNA (418 nucleotides) under uncultured bacterium. RNAcentral describes it as "bacterial SSU rRNA". It matches the Rfam family "Bacterial small subunit ribosomal RNA", at positions 60 to 472 of the family's 1533-position model. The record is from RNAcentral.
AGUCGAACGAGAAAGCCCUUCGGGGUGAGUACAGUGGCGAACGGGUGAGUAACACGUGGGCAACUUAUCCCUUGGGGGGGGACAACCGGAGGAAACCCGGCUAAUACCCCGUAAGCUUGCCGGGCCGCAUGGUCUGGCAAGGAAAGGUAGCUUCGGCCAUCCGGCGAGGGAGAGGCCCGCGGUGCAUUAGCUAGUUGGUGGGGUAACGGCCCACCAAGGCGACGAUGCAUAGCUGGUCUGAGAGGAUGAUCAGCCACACUGGGACUGAGACACGGCCCAGACUCCUACGGGAGGCAGCAGCCAGGAAUCUUGCGCAAUGGGCGAAAGCCUGACGCAGCAACACCGUGUGGGCGAGGAAGGCCUUCGGGUCGUAAAGCCCUGUUGUUGGGGACGAAGGGCGAAGGGUUAAUAGCCCCUA